This is a long non-coding RNA of Ictidomys tridecemlineatus (thirteen-lined ground squirrel), 518 nucleotides long. RefSeq lists it as uncharacterized. The record is from RefSeq and is a predicted model, not a curated record. NCBI's taxonomy places the organism in Eukaryota, Metazoa, Chordata, Mammalia, Rodentia, Sciuridae.
AGCACGAGCACGUUACCGUAGGUCUUACUGCGGGUGGAGUGACAGUCGGGGGCCUGAGUCUUCUGGGGUGAGGGAAUGUGCCCCAACCCCGCCACAGGGUCUCAGGGGCCGCCUGAGCUCAUGGACAUGGAACCCAUGGCUAUGGAAGACGCCCUACGACUGUGCAUCUGCACCCACAGGAAAUACACAACACCCGGCGAUUCAAUUUCUUGUUUGCAUUUUUCUGUGCCAUCCACAUUUGCUACGGAAGAGAAAGGAACAGAGAUCAAGUUCUCCAGAAGCCACACUGGCUCCAGGGCACUCCAGCCCCUCUUUGCAACGGCGUACCACAGCUUCACCCACAUUAUCCCAAAGCCCAGAUGGGUCAGAGGCCCACAGAACCCUCCUAAGGCGAGCAACACCUCACUCUUUUGAGUCACAGGCUGUUCUCCUGUGUUACUCCCUCGGGGGUUCUGGCUUUCUCUAGAAAUCACAGUGACCUUUCAGGGCACUCUCCUCUCUCACGGACAGCUGAGGGU